Molecule: ribosomal RNA, 492 nt
Filed under: uncultured bacterium
Lineage: Bacteria
Description: bacterial SSU rRNA
Rfam family: Bacterial small subunit ribosomal RNA
Source: RNAcentral
GACGAACGCUGGCGGCGUGCUUAACACAUGCAAGUCGAGCGGAAAGGCCCUUUUGGGGGUACUCGAGCGGCGAACGGGUGAGUAACACGUGAGUAAUCUGCCCUUCACUUUGGGAUAGCUUCGGGAAACCGAAAUUAAUACCGGAUAUGAUGCGCUCACGCAUGUGGGUGUGUGGAAAGUUUUUUCGGUGGGGGAUGUGCUCGCGGCCUAUCAGCUUGUUGGUGGGGUAAUGGCCUACCAAGGCUUCGACGGGUAGCCGGCCUGAGAGGGUGACCGGCCACACUGGGACUGAGACACGGCCCAGACUCCUACGGGAGGCAGCAGUGGGGAAUAUUGGACAAUGGGCGGAAGCCUGAUCCAGCAACGCCGCGUGAGGGAUGACGGCCUUCGGGUUGUAAACCUCUUUCAGUACCGACGAAGCGCCCUGUCGGGUGGUGACGGUAGGUACAGAAGAAGCACCGGCCAACUACGUGCCAGCCGCCGCAGUAACAC